UUAAAUGUCAAAUGUCAGCUCCGUGGUGUCACAUAAAAUGGCCGCUCCGUCCUUUUCUAUUUUAGUGCUUCGGCAACCACUCACUGUCUCACUAAAAAACACCUUAAUAUGCGAAAAACAUGCCUUUACUUUUAAUUUAAAAUAUCUUUCUGUCAACCAAUCAGAAGCACAUACGCUCUUAUUGGUGAGAGUGGUGAGAGUGACCACUUUUCUGAAAUAAGUUUUAUGCGCUAACUUCAUAGUGUUAUGCAAAUGACAUUCUUUGGUUAUGUAGUUUUGUUGUCAUAAUUGAAAUUUAUCAUCAGAGCUGAUGACUAACUGACAAUUAUUGCUAAGAAAACAAAUAUUUUCAAUGAAUAUAUAGUAAAAAACAUUUUAUAACCAGGAAAAUGGGAAAACCACGUGAAAUUGUGACAAGAGCAGUACAAAAGAAUAAAUCACUCAAAAAACCUGUCAAAAGAUUAAAAAAGCCAGAAUCAAUUAAGCAUAGAGAAGAACGACUAAAGAAAAAACGGGAAGCUGAAAAAGUAAGACGAGAAAAGAUAAAAAAUGAUCCCCUGCUUUAUGAAAAUUAUUGUCAAAAAGAAAGAGAAAGAUUCAAAAAAAGGAAAGAAGAAGGAAAAAUUAAAAAAUUAAGUGAAUUAACAAAUAGAGAAAAGAAACUUUUGAAAAAACGCCAGCGAGAGUGGAAGAGAAAUUCGCGUUUGAAAAAGAUGACGUUAGAACAAGAACUUAUAGUAAACAACGAAGUUAAAAACAAUAGGAGCCAACAAUCAAAGCAAUCAAAAUCAUCCCAAAAAAGUACAAAACAAAAGAAGAAAGUGUUAUACUGACAAUAAUAAACUCAUCGAUUUGAAAAAUUUGAGGUUGCAAAAAACUUAUCAAUAUGCUUAGAAAAAGAAAUAAGGGUCUCCAAAAUAAAUCUUUGUCGUCAAUUACGAAUACGUCACCUAAUUCGAAAAUGAACAAUUUUUUUAAUAAUCAGAAGACUUCUAUGAAUGAUAUAAAGAAACGUUUGAUUUUUGGUGAAGUCCUAAAAAAUUAAAUUCAUUGUUCCUAUAAGGAAUCUAAAAAUGAGAAAGUUAAACGAGUUUUAGGCCAAGUAGUAAGCGGAAAAAUUAUUUGAAAAUAUCGAUGUCUAUCACAAGCUAGAAAAGUUGUUAAUGUAUCAACUUCCAGAAUUUCCAAAGUUGCAGUUUUAAUCAAGCACCGAAGACAAAUACAAACAUUUAGCGUUGAAUGUAAUUUGCAAAAUUAUUUGAUAGGUGAACUUUAAAAUAAUUUUUUAUUUAAUAUUUCUUAUUAA
Molecule: long non-coding RNA, 1306 nt
Organism: Leptopilina heterotoma
Lineage: Eukaryota; Metazoa; Arthropoda; Insecta; Hymenoptera; Figitidae
Exons: 3
Source: RefSeq, a predicted model, not a curated record